This 184-nucleotide unclassified non-coding RNA is filed under the name uncultured fungus. Its description in RNAcentral is "sequence contains ITS1". Lineage: Eukaryota; Fungi. The record is from RNAcentral.
CCGAGUUAGUGGGUUCUUCUUGAGCCUAAACUCCAACCCUUUGUUGAUAAACCUCUGUUGCUUCGGCGGGCUGGUGGCUCUAAAUGCCACCGUAAGCCCCCUUUUAGAGGGCUUAUUAGCGCCCGCCGGAGGCCAUUCGAACUAUUUUAACGGGGUAGUCUGAGCACAUCGGCAAAUGUUAAUA